Molecule: ribosomal RNA, 375 nt
Filed under: uncultured organism
Description: partial 16S ribosomal RNA
Rfam family: Bacterial small subunit ribosomal RNA
Source: RNAcentral
GUAGGUGGCAAGCGUUGUCCGGAAUUAUUGGGCGUAAAGCGCGCGCAGGUGGUUCUUUAAGUCUGAUGUGAAAGACCCCCGGGCUCAACCGGGGAGGGUCAUUGGAAACGGGGGAACUUGAGUGCAGGAGAGGAAAGUGGAAUUCCACGUGUAGCGGUGAAAUGCGUAGAUAUGUGGAGGAACACCAGUGGCGAAGGCGACUUUCUGGCCUGUAACUGACACUGAGGCGCGAAAGCGUGGGGAGCAAACAGGAUUAGAUACCCUGGUAGUCCACGCCGUAAACGAUGAGUGCUAAGUGUUGGGGGGUUUCCGCCCCUCAGUGCUGCAGCUAACGCAUUAAGCACUCCGCCUGGGGAGUACGGUCGCAAAGACUGA